AUAUAUAUAUAUAUAUAUCUUAACCUGGAAUAAUACAGAGACCAUCAGCAUGGCCUCCCCCUAGGAUGGCACACACAAAUUCGUAAAGGGUUCCAUUUAUGU
This 102-nucleotide small nuclear RNA is filed under the name Peromyscus maniculatus bairdii (prairie deer mouse). The record is from RNAcentral. Lineage: Eukaryota; Metazoa; Chordata; Mammalia; Rodentia; Cricetidae.